ACAGCAGCCGCCGCGGUAAUACGAAGGGGGCUAGCGUUGUUCGGAAUUACUGGGCGUAAAGCGCACGUAGGCGGACAUUUAAGUCAGGGGUGAAAUCCCGGGGUUCAACCCCGGAACUGCCUUUGAUACUGGGUGUCUUGAGUGUGGAAGAGGUCAGUGGAAUUGCGAGUGUAGAGGUGAAAUUCGUAGAUAUUCGCAGGAACACCAGUGGCGAAGGCGGCUGACUGGUCCAUAACUGACGCUGAGGUGCGAAAGCGUGGGGAGCAAACAGGAUUAGAUACCCGGGUAGUCCCUGUCUCUUAUAC
This 305-nucleotide ribosomal RNA is filed under the name uncultured bacterium. RNAcentral's name for it is "partial 16S ribosomal RNA". It matches the Rfam family "Bacterial small subunit ribosomal RNA", at positions 508 to 807 of the family's 1533-position model. The record is from RNAcentral.